This 253-nucleotide ribosomal RNA is filed under the name uncultured bacterium. Its description in RNAcentral is "partial 16S ribosomal RNA". It matches the Rfam family "Bacterial small subunit ribosomal RNA", at positions 524 to 776 of the family's 1533-position model. The record is from RNAcentral.
GACGCAGGGGGCUAGCGUUGUUCGGAAUUACUGGGCGUAAAGCGAGUGUAGGUGGUUGUCCAAGUUGGAUGUGAAAGCCUUGAGCUCAACUCAAGAAAUGCAUUCAGGACUGGGCGGCUAGAGGACCGGAGAGGAUAGUGGAAUUCCCAGUGUAGUGGUGAAAUACGUAGAGAUUGGGAAGAACACCGGUGGCGAAGGCGGCGACCUGGUCCUUGACUGACGCUGAGGCGCGAAAGCGUGGGGAGCAAACAGG